Molecule: long non-coding RNA, 1337 nt
Organism: Ctenopharyngodon idella (grass carp)
Lineage: Eukaryota; Metazoa; Chordata; Actinopteri; Cypriniformes; Xenocyprididae
Exons: 4
Source: RefSeq, a predicted model, not a curated record
UCUGGAGCAACUCAUUCCAGUCGAACAGAAGCAGUGGAUGCAAGCGAAAUCAUUUUCUAAUCAAAAUAUCAGUCAGAAAAAGCUUUCGCUUUAUUUCCGCUGAGCUCUUUGCAAGUCUAUUAAACCUGGGAGUCAUUAGCGCACACUCACAAAGAGGAAUUAGGCCCCGUGUGUAAUCAGAUGGUGAACACACACAGGAUGUCACAAAAACUCAACCCCUUCCUAAAGAUCUCAUCUGGGCUACAGGCCUGGACACGGUUCAAAAGGGGACCUCCCACACACUGCAACAUCAGGCACGUACGAAACCGGUUCAAACUGACAGUCGCCAGAACGAGGCCUCGAUUUUGUUCCCAUUGACAUGCAUUAUACGACUGACAGACUGCAACGGUUGGAGUUAAAAAUCAUCAUUUGUGUUCUACUGAAGAAACAAAGUCACCUACAUCUUGGAUGCCCUGGGGCCACAAUCUGACAGCACAGUCUUACCUGCACAGGACUUAAGACGGUGUCCCUCCUCCCUUGAACUGUUAUGUUUGGUUUGUGCAUUUCAACAUUUACUUGAAUAAGACUGGAAUCCUCCAAAGCCACCACCAGACUCCCUCUCAAGGCCAGAGACCAGUCGAGCUGAGUGGAAAAAUCACAUCAGAAAUAUUUCAAAUUAGAUCCAUUUAUCUCUUGACAUCAAAUACAACAUUUAUUAGAAAUUACCUCAUUAUUCCAGUUAUCCACAGGGAUCUCUCUGGUAACCUUGAACACAAAAAGAGCUUUGAAAAAAUGAAAAGAGAGAGAGCAAGAGAGGAAUUAUCACAUCAACCUAAUUCUUACCUGAAUGAAGUCUGAAUCACACUGGAUGUACUCUCUGUUAGGAGGCGCUAACACCGCUGGACACUUCAUCAUAAACUUUUGAGUCCUGCCUCCAAAACGACUUACUCUCUUCAGCAGGUUCAGCACAAUCACAUAACUGCCAUGCUGAAAAAUCAUGUUAUUCUGUGAUGCAGUGAUAAAAAAGGGACAGAUUUUUACCUGUAACACAAUAUGUUUUAGUGACAAACAGGGAUAUUUUCUGACCUCUAACUGUACAAAACAUCCACUGUACAUGACUCUGAAGAUGUAGUUCUUGUCUAGAUCUCUGUGCAGGGCAAAGCCACAUGAAGACAGCUGAUGGUUUAGAUUCUCCAUGGACACCAGACCCACUGGUUCACCGUAGUCAACCGGAUCCGGGCCGUAUCCAGGUGAGACCAAGGACCUGCACCUUGACACGACCACAACGCAGCCCUGACGGAUCAGCAGAGAUUGAGUCAACUAGAUCAUCCACUGUGAGGGCCUCAUCGACACGACAG